ACCAAUUGGAAGCGUUGUCACAUCCGCAAACUGGAAGAUCAAGUUGAGCUCUUGUUUGAGAGGCACUGCGUCCUCUUGUGGUGGGUUGGUUGUAUGCAACCAGAGAGCUUUUAUUUUUGCACACCUGAACUUAAUAAAUUAGACAUUUCAUCGUACGCCAGUGCACUUCAGGGUCAGUUUUGAGUCUGCUGUCCCCCCCAACCCAUCUGGGUCCCUGCACAAACACAGACCCUUUUGCAGACUUCUGCUUUGCAGCUCGCUAUGACAUCAUACAAUGUGGCAUCACUUCCCUGCAAGGCAAGUCAUUGCUCACUCAACUGGAGUGUAAACACAUAGCCAUGCAAGGAUUUCUAUGUGUGCAAAUGUUGGUGUGUGUUUGUACACGCAUGCGUAUGUGUGUGUGCAUGUGGGCGCAUGACAUCACAGUGUCAUUGCUGCCCAACUCCACAGCAAAGCAAUGUUUUGUGAAGCAGAGAGUAGGACAGGAAGUGCCAUGGUACUGUCACUUCUCUGGCUGUUGUGAUCGCCUUGAUUGUUUCUUUUUUUUUUUCCAUCUAUUGGGGUUAAACCAAGGGGACUGGGCAGCUGAUCAGAGUGGAAUUGAUCACUGAAGUAAGUAGAGGUACCAAAGGAUAAGAUGUUCCUCUGAAGAAAAUCGAUAACCACCAUCCAAGGACUUGUCAGAUGAAGAUUCAUUAUCGACUUCAGAUGUUGAUUCAGAGUGUAUGAUGAAGAGGAGUCAAAGGUUCAGCGGCUCUUUCAGCUUUGAGGAGGACCAGCAGAUUCAUCUGAAAGAUGAGGAAGAGGAAGGAGAAGCUUUACCACCAAACUACCCUGAAGGAUCAAAAGAGGUGGCAGCAAAAUCUGCAGCAGAUUUUAAGCAAAUGGGAACUAGCCUAGUAAUCUGUGGCUCAAAUCAACCAAGGUCAGACAUAUUCAGACCUCAACACUUAUGGCAGGCUAUGACAAGAUGCCUUUCUUUUCGCUGGACUUCCAUCAGCAGACAAAGCAACCGGAAAUCAGCUUACGAAGGGGAUCUCAACCAAAGUGAAGACACACAGUCAUCUGUCAGCUCUGACUCGACCAAUGACGGUUCCUCAACAUCAUCUGCUUCGGAUGACAAAGAUGCACAUCUGUCAAAACCUGAGGUCAUCAGCGACAGAGGGGGAAAAAGUGGUCCACCCCCUCGUCUAGGAAUUUCCCAUUCCUGUCCCAGAUUAUCAAGAGCAAGACUAGCAACAGACCUGGGUCUGGCCUCAGUGAUCUUGGAGAAAGAAAUGUUUCUACGGAUUGAGCUGGUAGAUUCAGGUGAUGAAAGGGAUGAUUUACGCUACAGAGCAGAAUGGACUUUGUCAGAGAGAACUAAGGACCUGGCAGGAGGCGUCUGGCAAUCUCAAAGCCAAAAAGUAACAGACUGACCUAUUAAAUUGAAGGUUUGGGCUGAUGACUUCACACCAUGUACUGCUUAAGUUAGAUUGCAACCUCAGCCAUGAUAAUGUUACAUAGAUGGCAGAAUCGUUCAUUAGAAAUGGCUCGUGUUUUGCUGAAGAGUAACAUUAUUUUUCAGUCCUACCCAUGAUUUUCAAGAGCUAGACAAGCUUCAGACCAGCACCUUGUUUCAGUGAUCUUUGAGGAAUAAUUCUAAGGCAUAAUUUAGCUAAACCGGGUAGAAAAAAGGGGGAUUACUAAUGCUACUUGGUAAAAUGGAUGUUGUCUGGAAAAACAAAGGAAUUAGAAAAAGAUCCCUGGCUUUCUCAGGGCCAAAAAACGAUGGGUUGACCUGGUAAUUCAAGAUUUGGAUUACACUACAAAAAGUGACAUACCAUGUAUCCUUAAAGUGAGACUGCAAGCUCAGCCAUGAUUAUGUUAUCUUACAUGGCGAGCAUUCUGAUUAGAGAUGACCUAGAUUUCUCUAAGUGAUUGGUUUUGCAUGAUUUCUAUCACACACUACUGGUUCAGAUUCAGUAUCUAAUCAAUUAGAAAUGCUAUUUUGUUGACAUAGCACCGCUAAUGCUGAGGUCAAUUUUUUCAGCCUUGAUGGAAUCCUCACAGAACAUUUUUACUUGUAAGUGGUCUCAUGGUGGAGAAAUUGUGAAAUUGUAUUUUGGUGGUUUUUCAGUAAAACCUGGGAUUUUACAGUAUUGGGUUUUGAGGUCUUCAUCCAUGGUUGUCUUAACUACCAGUAUGUUGAAAUAUACUGUCUCAACAUGUGUCAAGCAAACUUACACUGCCGUGUUGAAAUAAGGUUUUACUUUCUUUACACUUUUCCAGUUCAGCAAAUGCUACGGUAAAUACACAAAAAAGCUUUAGAUAUGCUGACAGGUGCAAAGCUCCACUAUAAUUAUAUAUAUGUAGCCCAUUUUUUCAUGUACUUUCAUGUUUACAGUUAUGGUAAGUACAGACAGCAUAGCUUUAAGGUGAUAUUCUGUCUUACUGCAUUAAAAUUGAACUGCCCUAAAAGGUAGACUGGUAAUACUUUUGUAAGCAAAUAAGCAAUCGUAUAAAAUUCGGGAUCAAACA
Poecilia latipinna (sailfin molly) is the source of this 2520-nucleotide long non-coding RNA. RefSeq lists it as uncharacterized. Lineage: Eukaryota; Metazoa; Chordata; Actinopteri; Cyprinodontiformes; Poeciliidae. The record is from RefSeq and is a predicted model, not a curated record. The transcript has 2 exons.